Molecule: long non-coding RNA, 908 nt
Organism: Spinacia oleracea (spinach)
Lineage: Eukaryota; Viridiplantae; Streptophyta; Magnoliopsida; Caryophyllales; Amaranthaceae
Exons: 3
Source: RefSeq, a predicted model, not a curated record
CUUCUUUCAACUCCAUUUCUCCAUUUCUCUCUUUCUCGUUUCUCUCCCUUAUUCCAAUUUUCUCCCUCCUCAUGGACAUGCUCUGCGAUUCUCACUUUCUUCAAGUUCGUCCCUUCGAAUUUCUUCAAUUUUCGCCAAGUAAGUUUACAAUUGUUAGAUUUCUUAUUCAAUUAUUUUCCAUUUUGAUUGUUGAAAUUUGGGUUUCGAAAUUCUUUGUAUUGUGUUCCGCGAUUUUGAUGGAUAAAUUUAGGGCUUUUAAAAUUGUGGUUUUGUUUCUGUUUUUGCUACUCCGAUUGCUAUAUUAGGGAUUUUAAUUGCUAUCUUGUUUUCGUUUUUGCAAUUUUCAUUGCUAAUUCAAAGCGUAUUUAUAAUGAGGUCCUAUGUGAAUUCUUCAAUGCAAUGGUUGUUUCAAUUUGGCUUCUCCGAUUGAAAGGGCAGCAAGCAACACUCAGUAAGUUUGCUAAGAGUAUCGAGUCUUUGACCGGCACUCUGGAAGAUUCCUAACCAUUGCGGGCUGAACUACUUGUCUCAAUUAAAGCCAGACAUUGUACAGCGCGUGUAUGGCACAUCGCUGUAACAUCCAUUACGAUUAUUAGUUAGAAAGGGCGGCAUAGUUUCGCAAGUCAAGGGCAAGGUGACUUGUGGCUGACUCGAUACCUGAAAUUUUUUGAGUGGUGCAAGAAGAUAAUUAGAAGCGCAUACAGAAAAUAACAUCGUAUUUUUAGAUUUAUAUUUUAAAAUGAUAAUUUUUUUCUCAUCUUAAUAAUUCGUCAUUUACUUAUUUUAAUUUGAUGUAAAGUCAUGUCGUUCGACAAUCAGAUUUUUGAGAGGUACUAAUUAUGUAAUGACUUAAGUUAUUUGUAGAUACAUUUUUUUUGGUGUUAAUAAUACCAAUAUUGAUUUUCAUC